UAGGGAAUCUUCGGCAAUGGGGGGCAACCCUGACCGAGCAACGCCGCGUGAGUGAAGAGGGUUUUCGGAUCGUAAAGCUCUGUUGUAAGAGAAGAACGUGUGUGAGAGUGGAAAGUUCACACAGUGACGGUAACUUACCAGAAAGGGACGGCUAACUACGUGCCUG
Molecule: ribosomal RNA, 166 nt
Filed under: uncultured bacterium
Lineage: Bacteria
Description: partial 16S rRNA
Rfam family: Bacterial small subunit ribosomal RNA
Source: RNAcentral